Molecule: ribosomal RNA, 458 nt
Filed under: uncultured bacterium
Lineage: Bacteria
Description: SSU rRNA
Rfam family: Bacterial small subunit ribosomal RNA
Source: RNAcentral
AGAAUCAACGCUGGCGGCGUGCCUAACACAUGCAAGUCGCACGAGAAAGGGUAGCAAUACCUGAGUAAAGUGGCGCACGGGUGAGUAACACGUGAAUUAUCUACCUCCGAGUGGGGAAUAACUGAGAGAAAUCUUAGCUAAUACCGCAUAACACUUACGAGUCAAAGCAGCAAUGCGCUUGGAGAGGAGUUCGCGGCAGAUUAGUUAGUUGGCGGGGUAAUGGCCCACCAAGACGAUGAUCUGUAUCCGGCCUGAGAGGGCGCACGGACACACUGGAACUGAAACACGGUCCAGACUCCUACGGGAGGCAGCAGUGGGGAAUUUUGCGCAAUGGGGGAAACCCUGACGCAGCAACGCCGCGUGGAGGAUGAAAUAUCUUGGUAUGUAAACUCCUUUCGAUGGGGAAGAUUAUGACGGUACCAUAGAAGAAGCCCCGGCUAACUUCGCGCCGCAGCCGC